RNAcentral lists this transfer RNA (66 nucleotides) under Zootermopsis nevadensis. It matches the Rfam family "tRNA". From Rfam's summary of the family: Transfer RNA (tRNA) molecules are approximately 80 nucleotides in length. Their secondary structure includes four short double-helical elements and three loops (D, anti-codon, and T loops). The record is from Rfam by way of RNAcentral. Lineage: Eukaryota; Metazoa; Arthropoda; Insecta; Blattodea; Termopsidae.
ACGGUUGUCUAGCGGUUAGAACGCUGGCCUUGUAAUCCUGGGGUCUCGGGUUCGAUUCCCGGCUGU